UUUCCGGUUGAUCCUGCCGGACCUGACUGCUAUCGGAUUGAUACUAAGCCAUGCGAGUCUUUGCAGUAAUGCAAGGCAUACGGCUCAGUAACACGUAGUCAACUUACCCUAUGGACGAGGAUAAUCUCGGGAAACUGAGCAUAAUACUCGAUAGAUCAUAAUGCCUGGAAUGGUUUAUGGUUGAAAUGAUUCGUCGCCAUAGGAUGGGACUGCGGCCUAUCAGCUUGUUGGUGAGGUAAUGGCCCACCAAGGCGAUUACAGGUACGGGCUCUGAGAGGAGAAGCCCGGAGAUGGGUGCUGAGACAAGGACCCAGGCCCUAUGGGGCGCAGCAGGCGAGAAAACUUUGCAAUGUGCGAAAGCACGACAAGGUUAAUCCGAGUGAUUUCUGCUAAAGAAAUCUUUUGCAAGUCAUAAAACCACUAGUGAAUAAGGGGUGGGCAAGUUCUGGUGUCAGCCGCCGCGGUAAAACCAGCACCUCAAGUGGUCAGGAGGAUUAUUGGGCCUAAAGCAUCCGUAGCCGGCUCUGUAAGUUUUCGGUUAAAUCCAUGUGCUCAACGCAUGGGCUGCCGAAAAUACUGCAUAGCUAGGGAGUGGGAGAGGUAGACGGUACUCGGUAGGAAGGGGUAAAGUCCUUUGAUCUAUCGAUGACCACCUGUGGCGAAGGCGGUCUACCAGAACACGUUCGACGGUGAGGGAUGAAAGCUGGGGGAGCAAACCGGAUUAGAUACCCGGGUAGUCCCAGCUGUAAACGAUGCAGACUCGAUGAUGCAUUGGCAUAUAGCCAGUGCAGUGUCGCAGGGAAGCCGUUAAGUCUGCCGCCUGGGAAGUACGUACGCAAGUAUGAAACUUAAAGGAAUUGGCGGGGGAGCACCACAAGGGGUGAAGCCUGCGGUUCAAUUGGAGUCAACGCCGGA
Molecule: ribosomal RNA, 915 nt
Filed under: uncultured archaeon
Lineage: Archaea
Description: SSU rRNA
Rfam family: Archaeal small subunit ribosomal RNA
Source: RNAcentral